RNAcentral lists this ribosomal RNA (253 nucleotides) under uncultured bacterium. Its description in RNAcentral is "partial 16S ribosomal RNA". It matches the Rfam family "Bacterial small subunit ribosomal RNA", at positions 524 to 776 of the family's 1533-position model. The record is from RNAcentral.
UACGUAGGGUGCAAGCGUUAAUCGGAAUUACUGGGUGUAAAGCGUGCGCAGGCGGUUAUGCAAGACAGAUGUGAAAUCCCCGGGCUUAACCUGGGAACCGCAUUUGUGACUGCAUAGCUGGAGUACGGCAGAGGGGGAUGGAAUUCCGCGUGUAGCAGUGAAAUGCGUAGAUAUGCGGAGGAACACCGAUGGCGAAGGCAGUCCCCUGGGCCUGUACUGACGCUCAUGCACGAAAGCGUGGGGAGCAAACAGG